This 74-nucleotide transfer RNA is filed under the name Mus musculus (house mouse). RNAcentral's name for it is "tRNA-Ser". Lineage: Eukaryota; Metazoa; Chordata; Mammalia; Rodentia; Muridae. The record is from RNAcentral.
GAUGAGAUGGCUCAGCGGUUUAAGAGCACUGACUGCUCUUCCAGAGGUCCUGAGUUCAAAUCCCAGCAACCACA